Molecule: ribosomal RNA, 463 nt
Filed under: uncultured bacterium
Lineage: Bacteria
Description: partial 16S ribosomal RNA
Rfam family: Bacterial small subunit ribosomal RNA
Source: RNAcentral
GACGAACGCUGGCGGCGUGCUUAACACAUGCAAGUCGAACGGAAAGGCCUUUUCGGAGGUACUCGAGUGGCUAACGGGUGAGUAACACGUGGGUGAUCUGCCCUGCACUCUGGGAUAAGCCUGGGCAACUGGGUCUAAUACCGGAUAGGACCGCACUUUAGCGUGUGUGGUGGAAAGUGUUUUCGGUGUAGGAUGAGCCCGCGGCCUAUCAGCUUGUUGGUGGGGUAAUGGCCUACCAAGGCGGCGACGGGUAGCCGGACUGAGAGGUUGGUCGGCCACAGUGGGGAUGGGAUACGGCCCAGACUCCUACGGGGGGCAGCAGUUGGGAAUAUUGCACAAUGGGCGGAAGCCUGAUGCAGCGACGGCGGGUUGGGGAUGACGGCCUUCGGGUUGUAAACUCCUUUCGCCAGGGACGAAGCGUUGUGUGACGGUAACUGGUGAAGAAGCACCGGCUAACUACGUG